This 446-nucleotide ribosomal RNA is filed under the name uncultured bacterium. RNAcentral describes it as "partial 16S ribosomal RNA". It matches the Rfam family "Bacterial small subunit ribosomal RNA", at positions 338 to 795 of the family's 1533-position model. The record is from RNAcentral.
CCUACGGUGAGCAGCAGUCGAGAAUCAUUCACAAUGGGGGAAACCCUGAUGGUGCGACGCCGCGUGGGGGAAUGAAGGUCUUCGGAUUGUAAACCCCUGUCAUGUGGGGGCAAAUUAAAAAGAUAGUACCACAAGAGGAAGAGACGGCUAACUCUGUGCCAGCAGCCGCGGUAAUACAGAGGUCUCAAGCGUUGUUCGGAAUCACUGGGCGUAAAGCGUGCGUAGGCUGUUUCGUAAGUCGUGUGUGAAAGGCGCGGGCUCAACCCGCGGACGGCACAUGAUACUGCGAGACUAGAGUAAUGGAGGGGGAACCGGAAUUCUCGGUGUAGCAGUGAAAUGCGUAGAUAUCGAGAGGAACACUCGUGGCGAAGGCGGGUUCCUGGACAUUAACUGACGCUGAGGCACGAAGGCCAGGGGAGCGAAAGGGAGUAGAUACCCCUGUAGUC